Callithrix jacchus (white-tufted-ear marmoset) is the source of this 305-nucleotide unclassified non-coding RNA. It matches the Rfam family "Metazoan signal recognition particle RNA". Rfam says of the family: The signal recognition particle (SRP) is a universally conserved ribonucleoprotein. The record is from Ensembl. Lineage: Eukaryota; Metazoa; Chordata; Mammalia; Primates; Cebidae.
GCUGGGAGAGGUGGCUCGUGCUUAUAGUCCCAGCUACUUGGGAGGCUGAGGUGGGAGGAUUGCUGGAGUCCAGGAAUUCUGGGCUGUAAUGCGCUGUGCCGAUUGGGUGUCCGCACUAAGUUCGGCAUCAAUAUGGUGACCUCCCGGGAGUGGCGAACCACCCAGAGGGGUAAACCUAAGGAGGGGUGAACCAGCCCAGGUUGGAAACAGAGCAGGUCAAAACUCCCGUGCUGAUGAGUGAUGGGAUCACGCCUGUGAAUAGCCACUGCACUCCAGCCUGGGCAACAUAGCGAGACCCGCCCCGU